Non-coding RNA from Pelobates cultripes (western spadefoot toad), 92 nucleotides. The record is from the annotation of a GenBank genome assembly. Lineage: Eukaryota; Metazoa; Chordata; Amphibia; Anura; Pelobatidae.
UGUGUCUGUACAUCUGUGUCAGUGUUUGUAUCUGUGUGUCUGAAAAUCUGUAUGAUACAAACACUGACGCAGAUGUACUGACACACAGAUGC